This 253-nucleotide unclassified non-coding RNA is filed under the name uncultured Verrucomicrobiota bacterium. RNAcentral's name for it is "uncultured Verrucomicrobia bacterium contains 16S-23S intergenic spacer region". It matches the Rfam family "Bacterial small subunit ribosomal RNA", at positions 524 to 776 of the family's 1533-position model. Lineage: Bacteria; Pseudomonadati; Verrucomicrobiota. The record is from RNAcentral.
UACAGAGGUCCCAAGCGUUGUUCGGAUUCAUUGGGCGUAAAGGGUGUGUAGGUGGCGCCGUAAGUCAGGUGUGAAAUUUCGGAGCUUAACUCCGAAACUGCAUUUGAUACUGCGGUGCUUGAGGACUGGAGAGGAGACUGGAAUUUACGGUGUAGCAGUGAAAUGCGUAGAGAUCGUAAGGAAGACCAGUGGCGAGGGCGGGUCUCUGGACAGUUCCUGACACUGAGGCACGAAGGCCAGGGGAGCAAACGGG